GGUGGAUUAGUGGCGAACGGGUGAGUAACACGUGGGCAAUCUGCCCUGCACUCUGGGACAAGCCCUGGAAACGGGGUCUAAUACCGGAUAUCACUCUUGCAGGCAUCUGUGAGGGUCGAAAGCUCCGGCGGUGCAGGAUGAGCCCGCGGCCUAUCAGCUUGUUGGUGAGGUAAUGGCUCACCAAGGCGACGACGGGUAGCCGGCCUGAGAGGGCGACCGGCCACACUGGGACUGAGACACGGCCCAGACUCCUACGGGAGGCAGCAGUGGGGAAUAUUGCACAAUGGGCGAAAGCCUGAUGCAGCGACGCCGCGUGAGGGAUGACGGCCUUCGGGUUGUAAACCUCUUUCAGCAGGGAAGAAGCGAAAGUGACGGUACCUGCAGAAGAAGCGCCGGCUAACUACGUGCCAGCAGCCGCGGUAAUACGUAGGGCGCAAGCGUUGUCCGGAAUUAUUGGGCGUAAAGAGCUCGUAGGCGGCUUGUCACGUCGGGUGUGAAAGCCCGGGGCUUAACCCCGGGUCUGCAUUCGAUACGGGCUAGCUAGAGUGUGGUAGGGGAGAUCGGAAUUCCUGGUGUAGCGGUGAAAUGCGCAGAUAUCAGGAGGAACACCGGUGGCGAAGGCGGAUCUCUGGGCCAUUACUGACGCUGAGGAGCGAAAGCGUGGGGAGCGAACAGGAUUAGAUACCCUGGUAGUCCACGCCGUAAACGGUGGGAACUAGGUG
RNAcentral lists this ribosomal RNA (722 nucleotides) under Actinomycetes bacterium. RNAcentral describes it as "bacterial SSU rRNA". It matches the Rfam family "Bacterial small subunit ribosomal RNA", at positions 86 to 822 of the family's 1533-position model. The record is from RNAcentral. Lineage: Bacteria; Bacillati; Actinomycetota; Actinomycetes.